CCCAGUAGGGCUCGUAUCNAGUCGAGCGGAUGACGGGAGCUUGCUCCUUGAUUAGCGGCGGACGGGUGAGUAAUGCCUAGGAAUCUGCCUGGUAGUGGGGGACAACGUUCCGAAAGGGGCGCUAAUACCGCAUACGUCCUACGGGAGAAAGUGGGGGAUCUUCGGACCUCACGCUAUCAGAUGAGCCUAGGUCGGAUUAGCUAGUUGGUGAGGUAAAGGCUCACCAAGGCGACGAUCCGUAACUGGUCUGAGAGGAUGAUCAGUCACACUGGAACUGAGACACGGUCCAGACUCCUACGGGAGGCAGCAGUGGGGAAUAUUGGACAAUGGGCGAAAGCCUGAUCCAGCCAUGCCGCGUGUGUGAAGAAGGUCUUCGGAUUGUAAAGCACUUUAAGUUGGGAGGAAGGGCAGUAAGUUAAUACCUUGCUGUUUUGACGUUACCGACAGAAUAAGCACCGGCUAACUCUGUGCCAGCAGCCGCGGUAAUACAGAGGGUGCAAGCGUUAAUCGGAAUUACUGGGCGUAAAGCGCGCGUAGGUGGUUCGUUAAGUUGGAUGUGAAAGCCCCGGGCUCAACCUGGGAACUGCAUCCAAAACUGGCGAGCUAGAGUAUGGUAGAGGGUGGUGGAAUUUCCUGUGUAGCGGUGAAAUGCGUAGAUAUAGGAAGGAACACCAGUGGCGAAGGCGACCACCUGGACUGAUACUGACACUGAGGUGCGAAAGCGUGGGGAGCAAACAGGAUUAGAUAC
RNAcentral lists this ribosomal RNA (748 nucleotides) under Pseudomonas monteilii. RNAcentral's name for it is "bacterial SSU rRNA". It matches the Rfam family "Bacterial small subunit ribosomal RNA", at positions 38 to 785 of the family's 1533-position model. The record is from RNAcentral. Lineage: Bacteria; Pseudomonadati; Pseudomonadota; Gammaproteobacteria; Pseudomonadales; Pseudomonadaceae.